Molecule: long non-coding RNA, 8620 nt
Organism: Manis pentadactyla (Chinese pangolin)
Lineage: Eukaryota; Metazoa; Chordata; Mammalia; Pholidota; Manidae
Exons: 3
Source: RefSeq, a predicted model, not a curated record
AACAUUUCUCCAUGUCACUAAAUUAUUCUGCAUCAUCAUUUUGAUUCCCUAUCAUUUAUGACAUGGACACAUUAUGGUUUAUUUAGCCAGUUCCCUAGUAUGUGACAUUUAGGUUGAUUCCAAGACUCCAAUACUUUUUGUUUUUGCCACUAUAAUCAUUUCUUUAAUGAACAUCCUUGGAUUUCUUCUGUACAUCAAAAUUUAGCACAUCUUUAGAAGACUUUGACUGAUAUUGCCAAAUUAUUCUCCUGAAAGGGUGUACAUAUUUCUGACCAGCUGUGUAUGGUUGCCUUUUAUUGCAAUUUAAAAUGUAUUUGUCAAUUUGAUAGGUGAAAAAUGAGCAUCUCCUUGUUAAUUUUAAUAUCUUGGAUUACACGAGGCUGAACGCUCUCCUUGUGGUAAUUGGCCGGCAGGGAUCUCUUGUGCUCCCCUGCUUCCAGAUGAUGGAGUUUAAAGAGUCAUUAGUUAUCACUUAGGAAGAUGAAAUUGAGGCAGCUGCCAGGGAUCUGAGGGCAGUUAAAGUAGUUGCUAUUAGCCUUUAGAGCCUAAAACAAAUCUCCCCAAGUGUCUGUUUUCCAUCAUCCCUGAGCAGGCCUUCUAAUUUGAGGCUAUCUUGCUCCUCCAGGGCAGAACUGGAAUGGAGCAGGACAUGGGACACAAGAGGCUUGGGGGGACUUUAGGGUGCGGACAGGGUACCUGGCUCACUAAUCGAUCAAUUUUCUGUGCCUCCAGGCCUUCCUCUUUUCCUUCCCCUCAUUCACGCAGAUAAUCGUAUGUCAAAUAUCUUUGAUUGUGUUCUGCAGUGUCUGUUCCCUUAAAUAGUGAGGUAACGUGUCUGGUGCCAAAGCUGAUGUUCUGAGCCUGAGUUUAGUGGAUAACCUGCCAAGGCCCAGCUGUGUGUGGCUGCCAGGAUUCUUUAUGGCUAGGUGUGCAGGCCUGCAGGACUAGGGGAGGAGGGAUGUCAGAACAGGGAAGCCAUUUUGGGGAGGUGGUCGUUAUAGGGAGAGACACACUCUAAAUCAGAUCUCUAGCAUGUAACAUGCAAUGUGUUGGGACAGCCAGCAAUCUGGGCUGGUGUGGCUGGGCUUUGAGGACAAAUUGAUGCUCCAUGUUCCUUUCAUGAUACAAAAAUGACUGGCACCGUUCACUCCAGUUAGAAGGUCCACGGAUGGAUCUGGAACACAAAAUCAUGAGACUUUCUGCCAGUUUGGAUAACUGAGUUUACGAGGAGAAAAGCGAUGGUUGUUGGGAAGGCCCGAGGGGGAUGCUGGCUUCCUUCCAGCUGAUGCAGGUGGUGUGAGCGACUCCUGUGGAGGCCGGGCUAGGACAGCUCCUCCGUCAUCCUAAACUGGCAGGUGCUCCCGGAGGAGCAGCGUGAGGGAAACUGCACCGGCACCUGGAACGUGGGGACGAGGGUGGAGGUUUGAUGUCUCAUUUCCUGUCCUCAGAAUCCAAUAUAGUCAUAAAUAAGCCCAGAGAAGCAACUGGCAGAACUAAACAGGAAUGCCUAUUGUUUCCGAGGCUCUGGAGACUGAGAGGAAUUCAUAUUGCGUCUUUCACUUUGGAUUUUAACUCUGACAUAACUUGCCCCAAGCUAACUGUACUCCAUGGACAAAAAGAGCCCUGCGAGGUGACAUGACCUUCGCCACAGGAUGGACACCUUCACAACGGGAAAAAUGGGUUUGGCACAGGUGAGCUCUAAACUCUUCUGAGUCAUGCUCCUAGGCUCUAUGCAUCUCUUUACAAGUUAGAGGCCGGGUCUACCAGAGCCUCCCAACAGGGAUUCACAUCAGCCCUCCUUGCUGCGAAGGGACUUGGGCUCCUGUGGUGUUGGGCGCACAGAGGAGAGGACUUGGGAGGGUGGAUGGCACACACAGUGGCUGCCGUGGAGAGGAGCGCUACCCUGUGGAAGAAUCUGGAAGCAUUUGGAUGCACUUAGCAGUGUGCCAGCAUUUGUUAUCACGGUGAAACUGCUUUGUGUUUUCCAGAAUGUUUCUUGUAGAUCUGACUUGAUCUUCAUAAUAUAAAAGUAUUUCCCAGAGGUUUGUUGAAUUCCAAUUUUUCAUUAUUUGAACAACUCCUCAGGCUCCUAGUGGGUGCAGUUAAUAACAGGUGCGCAGAAGCAGCUGGGUGUGUGUUUUACGAGCCAUGGCAGCACAUGUCUGAGGAGGAGGGCAUGGACCCUCAGUGCGGGUGGGGGCGCUGUGGGGCAGCGGCAGCAGAGCGAAGAUCGCAGUCAGACCACAGGAGAUGCCCUGGAGGCUUAGCUCCUGCUCCACCUGGAGGCAUCAAAGCCUUGUCUUCUGUUCCAGAAUCUAUGUGUAACUAGAGUGGGAGACCCUUUCACCUGCAAGCUGCUAUCUUGGCUGCAUGAUUUUCAAUAGAUUACUUAAGUUCUCCAGGCCUUAGUUCUCCUCCGUAAAAUGAGAUAAUAAUAGUGUCCAUCUCAAGGAAUUGUGUGAAGAUUAAGUGAAUUAAUACCUUCAAGAAAAGAGCACUUAGAGCACAGAGUUAGCACUCAAUGCAUAUUAACUAUUAUGAUGACAAUAGUAGUCAUGACUGUGAACACUGGGUGUCACAGAAGGAGGCAGCUGGGGAGAGCUAGACAGUGCCCCUGUCUCCCUGCAGGGUUCCAGCAAAUCCCCACUGUACACCUUCAUGACCUUGUGGGAGACAUGGUGAAGAGCAUAAGAGGGAAGGGUGAUGGAGAAGCAACCAGGCCUGUGAGUUUAUGAAACAACAGGUCAAAAUGGGAAACUUGACCUUGAGAAUGUUAUUAAUCUCUGCAAUUACACUGAAGUGUAGUUCUUAAAGAACUACAGCAAAGAAUUGACUUCUCAAAGGGGACCCCAAGAAUUGAAAGAGUAUAAUGCUGACCUCUAACCCUUGUCCUUGCUAUGUAUCAGCUGUGUAACCCUGGGCUAGUUACUUAACCUCUCUGAAUUUUAGUUUCCUCAUUUGUAAAAUGGGAGUAAUACUUUACAGGGCUGUUGGAAUUACCAAAUCAGAUGACAUCUGUAGAAUUCCUAGCAAGUUAAGUUCUUAGGACCUGGUGAGGACUUAAUAAAAGCCCAAUAUCAUUCCUAUUAUUGAUAUAUUAAUGCCUAUCAUUACAAGCUACCUUACAGCUUGCAGUUUACAACCCAGGGGACAGGUUACUUUCACAGCAGGGCUAGUCCUGUGAUGGUCUGCUCCCGCAUCUUGAAAGAUGUUGACACCCACAGGAUUCUCCCACCUUGCCUGGGCCUGACCUUCUGAGCUCAGUGGUUUCCAUGGGAACGUGUCCAGGGUGUGCAAGGGCUGAGUCGGAGUCCGUCUGCCUCUGCUGUAUCCACAGCCCUACGAACAGGGAGUGGCCCACGGCUCCUCUCGGAUGAUCAGGAUUUUUGAGGAUUUUUUGAGGUGUCCAGACUUAAACCCUCCUUUUCAUUGAUCCCUCCUGUAGGGUAAAUCCUAGGAGCAGGAUUGCAGGAUUAGAGGGCAGGUGUAUGGUUAACUUUUAAAGAGAACGCCAACUGCUUUCCAACGUGGUUGUGCCACUUUACAUUCCCACCAGUUCUGAUUGUACCAUCGCUCCAGCCACAUUUUCUGUUCUUCCCCACACAUCAAAGUCAGUGUUUUUCUAACUCUAAACUAUAUAUAGGUAUAUGUUUUUAAGUAAAACCUUAUAAAAGAAAAACGGUCCUCCCUAGACCCCCAGUAUAUAGAGCAUAUGGGAAGAUGGCUGCUUUGGUGGGAGGGCUGGGGAAGUGCUUGGAGCCCGGAGCAUGGGGGCACCUUUGUCUGCUCCGGCCCCAGGGAGCAGAGUGAGGAGCCCUGAACGUGUGGGUCCGGUUCAGUCAGUUACCUUUGAGCGGAGCAGCGGGCCUGCCAGAGGGGUAGUGAUGCAGCCCAGGAUGGGCCAGCCACACCCCGGCCAGCCUCGGAGAGCCGUCCAUGGGCCGCACCAGCAGCCAAGGGCAGGCCCCACAGGCCCGGGCAAAUGCAGACACCGGGCUCGGGGGUGAUGUUCCCCGGUGGGGAACAUCAGGAUAUGCAGCCUACCUUUCCAUCACCACCGCGUGUCAGUCAAACUUACUCCAUUUCCAAAACAAAUAUCAGAAGCUGUGGGACUCCAGAUAUGAGGAACAAAGAAACAAAUUUGGAACAUUGUGCUCGAAAAAGAUUUUAAUAAAGAUUGAACUGGCUGGGUGCAUAGAUUCUGCCACUCUUCUUAUUCUGAUCUUGACAGUGAUGCAGGGUGAGAAUGGAAAGCUGAGCCUAAGGCAAUUCAUUUUCCUGAUGGCCUUUGCCUGGGCCCUCCACCUGUGCCCACCUGGCCAGGGGCCCGGGGAGCCCCCUGCUCACCAAGCCCUCUGCGUGCUCCUUCCUCCUCCUCCUGCUUUUAUUAUGGAAACAUUUAAACAGCAGACAGAAAGUACCCAAGCCCCUUUGUACCCACAGCCCAGUUUCAGCAGUCGCCAGCACAAUGUCUUUUCAUCUCUACCCUCCUCCCUCCCACAGAUGAUUUUGAAUCACAUCCUGGACGUCAUAUUACUUCAUUCAUUGAAGAUGCCAGGACCAGGAGAACAUCCCAGGCUACAGGAGAUGGUGACUGGGAGACUGCGAGUGCCUCGAGGGCAAGGAUGGCCUCUUUCUCAUCUUUGUCCCUCUUCACCUGCCUGGGCACAGCCAGCCUGAGCUGUUGACGGAAGGGAACGUGUGAGGAGCGGAUGCGACACUGUCCGCCAGAGGGCGUCGGCUGCUGCAUUGCUUCCUUCUCAUUUCUGGAAUCUCUUGGACGGCCAGGAUGUGACAGAUUGGCCAGAUCUGAAAUGCCCCUGAGGCUCUAAGAGUUCCUGCUUCUCAUCUUCUUGGUGUUAUGCCCUUUCCUCUGAAGGACCUGGGCUGCUUGGCUGGUGUUGACUUCCCUCUGCUGUGAGCCCGACUUCCCCAGGGAACCCAAGGGCCAGGGUGGAGCCCACCGGCUUCCUCUGGGCUCUGGCUGGGAGACCGCCUGCCCUGAAGGACUGAGCAGUCCUUAUUCUCCCUGACCCCUGAGCUCCUAUCAUUCAGCCUGAGACUGAUAGGACUCCUGGGAUCUGCUGGGGCAUCUCAGGUGGGCAGGGGAAGAGGCCUCUCUGUAACUGGACUUCAUCUAUAGUUUCUGGAAGGAAAUUGGUCCUUGUGUCUUUCAAGUUAUCUGUCUCCAGGCAUCCUGCAGGUCGGUGCCUGGUCUUCAGAAAGUCCUGUUGUAAGAGGAAGACAGCAAACUUGGGGCCUGCCCCCUUAAGUCACUUAUGGGGGGUGGGGAUGAGUUAGAUAUGAACACUUCAGAAGCACACCUGGACAAAUGCAGUAAACUGGAGGUGAACAAAGGCAUGGAUCCUGUCUCAGGAGGGCACAGUGGAGUAGGUGAGGAGAUGAGGCAGUCGACCCCAGAGCCCAGGGGUGGGAGAAAGUGUGCAGGAUGUGAGCUCUCUGCCUGGGAGCUGGAUAUGCCCAUUUGGUGCUGGAUGAGGGAAAAUAUGUGUCAUGUGUGCAUUUUAUUUCUCUCAUCCACAACUUGCUGUCUUUGUACAUAUUCCAUCUUGGAUGAGUAACAGGGUGAGAGGUCAAUGCCAAAAGGGACUCAGUCAAGUACAGAGGCAGGAAAUCUGUUCAGUCUUCUCCCAGAGGACAGAUCUGGGACAAGCAUAUCAGAAAGCAAAGUGAUGAGGUCCAAUUGGACAGAUUUGAUUUUGGGGUUUUGUAGGUUCAUCUGACUUCAUUCUGGAGCCUGUUAGAAUUUUAUGGCAUGGAAAGCUGGAACUAUUUCCCAAGGACACUGGCACAAACAGGGACACCCAGUCCCAGCUGUGGUCUCCACAGGGGGAUUUAAAUGAACCCUCUUGGCUGACAUGAGUUCCAACAGUUCUUGUGGGACUGUUUCACUCACUAAAGCUCUAGUUUUGUUUCUCCUGGAUUGGACUUAAAAAAUAAAACCUCAAAAAACUGUGAAACACACUAUUAAAAAACAUGCACUCUGAGUCAAGCAUAAACACAAAGCUGUCUUUUUAUGAAGUCUGAGCUUUAUAAGGUUGCCAGAGUGUUUCUCCUUCGGUUUUAAAAAUUGAAGUUGGAAACCACUGAAGAGUGAAAAACAUGCCAUGAAGGAAAUUCUCAGACACUAAAUUCCCAGGUUUACAUCACAGACAAGUCAAUGUCUGUGUACAUGAGCCCCAAGGGCAAGGCUGGUUGGACAGAGCCAUGCCACGUUGGCGCCUCGGGGGACGCUGUGGAAGAUCAUUUGCUCCAGUGGAACUCCUGAAUAAUAACUGAGAUGUCAUGCUGAAGUUUUGUCAAAAUUUCUCAAUUUCUGGGUCACCUACGUCAUGUGUCUGUGUCCCAAAGUGCAGACCGACACACACACAUAGGAGCCACCCUCCAUUCUAAAUCCAUCUGGGUUGAACCCGAGUGGGCAGUAUGAAGACCAAGGCUUCAGGGUUGCUUUGGGAACAGUGCUCUGUCACUUGUCCCAUUUCCAAAGCUUUCAGGUUUGGGCUUUAACCUCCCAGCCCCAGUCCCUGUACCUUCUGGACACUCCUCUUCUGUACCUUCCAACAUGACCCCUUUCUCAACUAUUUUGUUUUCAGCUUUUAGAAAUGACUAGCGAACAAAGAACUCACCAUUCUUGGGCUAACCUCUGGGCACUCCUCAGAACUGAUGGUCCAUUUUCUACUGUAUUCUGUCGUCGGUGUGGGUGAGGGGAGAUGUUGGCAUCAAGAUUCCCAUUGUCUCAUCCUGAGGGCAAUCUCCCAGGCUGAUUUUGCAGGCUGACUCCAGAGUUUGGGGAGCCAGAACAGUGCUGCUUAAUAGCAACUUGGCAGAAUAGUUUUGUCGAAUCUAGGGCAAUACCAGGAGCUUGUAAUUUAAAAAACAUUUUUAUUAUAUAUUAUAAAAGAAUUGGACCAUGUAAAUUAGAAAUAAGCAGCUGCCAGUGCAACUGGAAUUCACAGAUGGUUUGAGACACACCAAGUGAGCUAGACUGUCCUAGAGCUUCUGUUGAGGAUCCAGAGGCUGAAAUGCUCCAAGAAGGGUAGUUUUUAAGCAUUAUGAGGUGUAGAUGGAAAAACAGAAAAUGGAAGUGCUUGCAGACGCCUGUGGAGUGAUACCUGUGAGACGGUGCUUGAGUUGAUGUGCCAGCUUGGCCCAAUGGGACAGGGAAAAUGGACAAUGUAUGGGCUUCCAUACUGUGAUUCUGGGUGGGUCAAGUCUACCCUGACCACUCCAUAUUUUUCUAGAGGAGGAUUAAGUUCUGGUUAUGGAUGAGAUUUUUGCUGCCCCCCAGCCCUCUCACAACCUCUGGGGACAAUAGGUUUUGGGCUGAUAGGGAGUCAGGGCUGUGGUUAGAUGCAAUGACUGUUCAAGGGACCAAGCCACGGUGCUUCCAUAGGAGUUGGGAUUCUCUCUGUACUGUGCCCUUGGCCCCCUUAUCAUCAGCAUGGAGAAUAUGAGAUCAUAGUGCCCACCUGUGCCCUCUGGACUCCUGGCUCCAAUCCACCACAGCCUCUUGCCAGCCAGUAUGCUGUGGAGGUGUUAACCAUAUCCCUUCAAUAAUGGAAUUAUUGAAUGGGGCGGGACCAUUAGGGGGAGUCCUGAAAGUUCACUCCUAGUAACCUUCUCUGCAGGAGUGAACAUUCUGCUAUAAGAGGCGCUGGCAAAGAGCUACAGCUUUGCCGAUAAACAUCACUGACCAACCUGUUUCCAGACACAUGCUGAGCCCUUCAUGAUCCCUCUCCUUUAAUGUCACAGCUCUCACAUUUACCCUCAUUUCACACAUUCCAAAAGUGAAGUUCAGCCUUUCUUUGGUGCACUAUCUUCUAUCCGUACUCAGCCAUACACUGAGCUACAACUCAUCCGGGUUAUGAGAACUUAACGUUAGGAGGAAUUUCACUGAACAUCUCAGCUUAUGAGGUAUUUCUUCAUGUUUCCAGAAACCCUUUUGGCUUUUGCAUGUCUCUUGAGCAACUUGAGCCUGGUGAAAAGAGAGUCACAGUGCAGUCAUUGUCAUAAUGUCAAGUUGUGGUUGCCUCAGACAAAUCUUGGUCUGCUAGGUUCGGUGGCAAAAACCUUUGUAUUGUAGGUUUUCUUUGGUCUUUGCCUUUUUUUUUUUGAAUUACAGGUUUAAUUACAUAAGCCUUGAGUAUCACAGGCCAAAGAACAAACCAAACCCAAGGCUCAGAGAGAUUAAAUAAUUUGCCCAACAUCACACAGCCAGAGAAUGCAGAAGCCAGAAUUCAAAGCCAGGUUAGUCUCGCCAGCCACAUGCUUAAUUGGCAUUAUUUAGAAUUUCUAUGUUAUAUAUCAUACUAUAAUUAGAGGCAUUAGAAUGAAAUUCAAGCCAUGUAAUUAAAACCCCAAGGUUCCAUGGUUUCUUUAUGCAAUCGUUAAGGGGUGAAAUAUGAUUUUAAAGGCAUCGAGGGUGGAGAGCAAGCUCUAAACAACACUAUCUGCCAGGUUAGAGUUCAUGUUUAGAAACAUGCCCUAGAGUCAGGUGAUGCAUGUAUUGCCUACUCUGGGCACAAAUCAAGCCUCAUACAUUUUUACACCUCUUUUCCUACCUUUUUGUUUUAAAAAAGCAGCUCAUAGUUGAAGACAU